Molecule: transfer RNA, 75 nt
Filed under: Candidatus Parcubacteria bacterium
Lineage: Bacteria; Candidatus Parcubacteria
Description: tRNA-Thr
Rfam family: tRNA
About the family: Transfer RNA (tRNA) molecules are approximately 80 nucleotides in length. Their secondary structure includes four short double-helical elements and three loops (D, anti-codon, and T loops). Further hydrogen bonds mediate the characteristic L-shaped molecular structure. tRNAs have two regions of fundamental functional importance: the anti-codon, which is responsible for specific mRNA codon recognition, and the 3' end, to which the tRNAs corresponding amino acid is attached (by aminoacyl-tRNA synthetases). tRNAs cope with the degeneracy of the genetic code in two manners: having more than one tRNA (with a specific anti-codon) for a particular amino acid; and 'wobble' base-pairing, i.e. permitting non-standard base-pairing at the 3rd anti-codon position.
Source: RNAcentral
GCCGAUGUAGCUCAGUGGUAGAGCAACUGUUUCGUAAACAGUAGGUCGUCGGUUCAAAUCCGACCAUCGGCUCCA